UAUAUAUAUAUAUACCUCUAUAUACAACAUGCUUGCAAGAACCAACCUAACUUCUAUCUCUCUCAAUAUCAUCAUAUGUAUAUAUAUAUAUACACACACACACACCAUCCCUUUGUUUUUUAUUACCCUUUGUUGAGCUUGCUAAUGAUCUUGUCAGAAACGGACUCGAUAUAUUGAAGAAGGAAAAGAGGGUGUCUGGAAUGAAGUUUGAUCCGAAAUCAUUGUCUCAGUUUCAUUUUUACCUUUGCCUAUAUUGUGUGUGUGUGUGAGAGAGAGAGAGAGAGAUUUCAUCUGUGAUGGAAAGGGGGUGUUUGGAAUGAGGUUUGAUCCAAGAUCAUCACAUAUACCUUCAAUUUUCCCUUGUUUUUGCUUGUUGAUUUACCUUCAUAGAUUUGUUUAUGAUCACUUCAUGCAUGGGAUGGGACUGAUCUCGGACCAGGCUUCAUUCCUCACACCUACCUUUCCUUGUAGAAGCAAAUCAACCACAACAAGACAAAGACAAAGGACACAUUCAUGUUUUGUAUGAAUGAAACUUUGACAUGAUGAAUGAUAUACAUCAUAAAGGUUGACAUCCAUUUUUGGGAAUUAUUGGCACAAACCCUGCUGCUGAAACAAGACAAUAAGACAAGUGAAGUUCCCUCCAUCGUUCAAUACUGCCCCUGCUUUUCCCCCAUUAACUGUAGCCACACAAAAGGUUAAUCACUUCAUACAUACAUCUUACAUACUUAUUCUGCAUAUCUUUUGUAUAUGUAUGUGCAUGCCUUAACAUGUAGAUCAGGAUAUAAAAUUAACAUCGCACAUACAUGCACAUUGUUAUUUCUUCUUGCAUUACUCUAUGUUAAUUGACAAAUAACAGUUUUCCAAAGUGUUACAAGGAACUCAUCAUAGUUAGAAGCAUUGGUUAUAUAUAUAUAUGCAGAAUUCAUUCUAUAGUAUCACAUAGGGGUACAUAGGUAGAAGAAUCUCGCUGUCUUCUUGCUCUAUGUUUGUGAGCGAUAUUCAGAUUCCUUGGAAUAUAUCAUAUAAUAUUUGGUUUUCUUAAAAAGUAUUUGUAUAAUAUAUUGGAUUUAUUUUAUGGGAAAUGUCAGCAAGUUGAAUGCAUGCUUGAUAUGGAUAAAUUAAUAUUUUACUGAAUUCUAUGAAUUCUAUGAUUAUUUUUUUUGUUGAUUUGGUAUUAUACUGUAUGGAACAACAUUAAAACUUGUUCUUUAAGCGCGUGGUAAAAGCUAGUAUGCCACGUGACAAAGAACCAUAUCAUUGCAAAGUUAUGGCGUGAAGUGAGUUAAAAACUGAAGUAACUUUUAACCUACACCACAUGAAAAUUUGAUGUACACAGUUAUUGAAUAGCUUAUGGUACAACUUAACUUAUUCUUCCUUUUUCUA
Molecule: long non-coding RNA, 1383 nt
Organism: Vigna unguiculata (cowpea)
Lineage: Eukaryota; Viridiplantae; Streptophyta; Magnoliopsida; Fabales; Fabaceae
Source: RefSeq, a predicted model, not a curated record